GAUGAAGAACGCAGCGAAAUGCGAUAAGUAGUGUGAAUUGCAGAAUUCAGUGAAUCAUCGAAUCUUUGAACGCACAUUGCGCCCUUUGGUAUUCCAAAGGGCAUGCCUGUUCGAGCGUCAUUUGUACCCUCAAGCUUUGCUUGGUGUUGGGCGUCUUGUCUCUAGCUUUGCUGGAGACUCGCCUUAAAGUAAUUGGCAGCCGGCCUACUGGUUUCGGAGCGCAGCACAAGUCGCACUCUCUAUCAGCAAAGGUCUAGCAUCCAUUAAACCUUUUUUUCAACUUUUGACCUCGGAUCAGGUAGGGAUACCCGCUGAACUUAAGCAUAUCAAUAAGCGGAGGA
This 341-nucleotide unclassified non-coding RNA is filed under the name soil metagenome. RNAcentral's name for it is "partial contains 5.8S ribosomal RNA, internal transcribed spacer 2, and large subunit ribosomal RNA". The stretch from base 1 to 120 matches the Rfam family "5.8S ribosomal RNA", at positions 35 to 154 of the family's 154-position model. The record is from RNAcentral.